Bactrocera oleae (olive fruit fly) is the source of this 3910-nucleotide non-coding RNA. NCBI's taxonomy places the organism in Eukaryota, Metazoa, Arthropoda, Insecta, Diptera, Tephritidae. The record is from RefSeq and is a predicted model, not a curated record.
AAUAAUAUUUAUACAUAAAUUAAAUAAAUAAAACUAAUAUAUAUUAGUACAAGUACAACUAAGGUUCAGCGCAAUUCAAGCUAUGAAUUAUAAUCAUUUCGCCCCGUGAUUUCUUUAUAGAAUUUUGUGUAAUAAUUCAUAGAGUAUUCCCCUCGGUCAGCUGUAGAAAUGCCAAAGUCGAAAUUAACCAAAAGAAAAUAAUAAAAAGAAAGUAAAUUAAUUAGGUAAUUCCACAAAUACCAGAAACAACGAAGAAAGAAAAUUGAAGAAAAAGUGAUUACUAUAAUUAUUCCCAAGUUGCAAAAGUGUGCGCAAAUAUUCAGUUAUAGUCGGUUAGCCAAUAAGCUUCCGAAAGGCAAUAAAUAGCCAUGUUGUUCGUAUAAAUUGCUCACAGCCAAACAAAACGAAAUCCCAUUUUCGUUCGUGUUAAAAAUGUGCGGCCCAGUUUGGCUGCAAACGCAACCGCAGAAGCAGCGGAGGCUCAUCGUCAGCUGCCAGAAAUGGACAGUGUAAAAAGUGAACAAAGAAAGAAAGAAAAAAAAAAACAAACAAAGAAAGAAUGAAAAUAAAAUACAAUAAAAUGUGCCAAAAAUAAUAAGAGAUAUCCUGUGAAUAGGACCCAUCCACACACACAUACUCACGCGAAUGAGGAAUAACUUCUCAGCUGGUAAAUAAAAAUUAAAAUAUAAAUAAAAUCCAAGUGGCAGUGUCUGUGCGCCAUGACCCGGUGCAAGCAAGGCGGGCGAAUAAAUAAUUGGUGCUAAUCGCCAUAAGCUGUGUGUAGUGUUAGAAUGUCUGAGCCAAGCACCUGCAAAAUAUGAAAUCAUGGCAGAUAAUAUUUUUCUUUAAGUGAAUAUGAAUAUGCCUCUUAACAUACACAUUUAAAUAGUUUAUGAAAUUUCAAACGAAAUGCCUUUAUUUACUUCUUAAAAAAGGAUAAGCUUUCAUCCAAGAGGAGAUAAAAAAAAGGAACAUUGUUCGUGAAUCGAGCCACCAACGGCGCACACAUACUUAAACACAGCCAAUCUGACAUGUGAUCAAAAAGUAUAAAACGCUUUUGCCGUCAUCACAUAAGCAGUCGAAGGUCUUCACAAGCACACGCAAUGUACGGAUUUCUUCACAACGACGAUGCACAACCGCAACAACUCAAUCAUCGGCAUCAACACGGGAAGCAACAACAAUAGCAGCUGUACAGUACUGCGCUUAAUGCCGGUGGCAGCGACAGCGAUAACAGUACAACAGUACAAGAAGCGCUCAAAGCAACAGUAAUAGUAUUCCAAGCUUCAGUGGCAACAACAUCGCGAAUCCAGCCCACGGCAGCAGUAAAAACAUCAACAGCAACAGCAACAGCGCUGGCACAAGUAAAAUAAUUGCCGACGCAUUGGUGAGUCGUUCGCUUGCACUGAAUCCGCUCAACAUGUCGAGUUCGCCCGAAGUAGCGGAAGCGGGUGUGGGUGUGGCUACAGGAGCAAAUGUAGAUUUGAACGUGAGCUCUGACGAAACACCGCUCGAGUCCUACGACAGCCUCGACGCAAUUAAUGAGAGUACCGAACUGCAGUGCCUGAUGCAACAGCACAUUGAUACAACGACCUACGGCAAUGACAGCGCCUACUGCCUCACCCACUUCGACUCAAUUCUUUGUUGGCCGCGCACGUCGCGUGGCACUUUGGCGGCGCUGCCGUGCCUGCAUGAGUUCCAGGGCAUACAGUACGACAGCUCGCAGAAUGCGACGCGCUUUUGCCAUGCCAAUGGCACAUGGGAAAAAUAUACAAACUAUGACUUGUGCAUGCAUCUGCCCGCGCCCUCGACUGUACCUGAAUUCGAACCAAUCAUCGAGUUGCCAACGAUAAUUUACUACAUCGGUUACACCAUCAGCUUUGUCUCAUUGACACUGGCGAUUAUUGUCUUCGCAUAUUUCAAGGAAUUACGCUGUUUACGCAAUUCAAUUCACGCCAAUUUAUUCUUCACAUACAUAAUGUCGGCGUUGCUGUGGAUACUGACUUUGUCCGUACAUAUUUCCAUACGAACGGGCUUAGGAGGCUGUGUGGUUCUUGUCACGCUCUUUCAUUUCUUCACCUUAACCAAUUUCUUCUGGAUGCUUGUUGAAGGACUUUAUUUGUACAUGCUGGUUGUGAAGACAUUUUCCGGCGAUAAUAUACGCUUCAACAUAUACGCAAUCAUCGGCUGGGGUGGACCCGCCGGUUUCGUUGUCGUUUGGGCAAUCGCCAAGGGAUUUACGAUAUCCUACGAUGUGGAAAAGUUCGAUAUUGGUUGCCCUUGGAUGCGAGAGACCCAUGUGGAUUGGAUUUUCCAAGGCCCAGUCUGCGCGGUGUUGAUAAUGAAUUUAAUAUUUCUGCUGAGAAUCAUGUGGGUGUUGAUAACGAAACUGCGAUCCGCCAACACAGUUGAAACGCGCCAAUAUCGCAAAGCAGCCAAGGCAUUGUUGGUGCUCAUACCCCUCUUCGGCAUCACCUACUUGGUGGUUUUGGCAGGCCCCAGCGAAAGUGGGGUCAUGAGUCACAUGUUCGCCGUCGUGCGAGCCCUGCUGCUCAGUACACAGGGCUUCGCAGUGUCAUUGUUCUAUUGUUUCCUAAACUCCGAAGUGAGAAACACACUGAGGCAUCACAUUUCCAGGUGGCGCGACGAGCGGAAUAUCCAACUCAAUCAAAGCAGAAGGUGAGCAAACAGGUACACCACAAAGAGCUUCUCAAAGGAUUGCUCGCCGAGAACCGAGAGCACACGUUUUUCAUUUGCCAUCGCAUAAUAUUUGGUUGCGUUUGUUUUGCUUUAUUCCUUGCAGGCCGCUCACAGCUUACUAUGGCAAAGGCAAACGCGAGUCCAGCGUCUCAUCGGCAACCACCACCACCCUGCUGGGCCACAACCAAAGCCUGAGUGUGAACGCGAACAUCAGCGGAGCGAUGGCGUUGCAGCACAGCUCUAACGGCACUUUGCAAACGAUGUCCACCGUAACGGCGCUGACCGUUAUGCCGCGAGCGGUUAGUCCGCUCAUGAAGCAAGGACUCGAGGAAAAUUCCGUAUAAGAGAUCACAAAUUAUAAAGCUGUAACAUCUAUGUAUAGUAUUAAGUAAUAUCUUUAGUAAUAUUAUAAAUUAAAGUAUAUUAGAAAUAAGCCAAUGUCAUUAGCUAAUCAAAAGCGUAAAGGGAAAUUAUUUAACGCAAACUAACGAAUUUAUUAUAAGUAUGUUACUACAACUUUUUUAACACACUGUACUCUAAGCACAACUUAAAUGUAAUAUUAUUUUAUAUAUUGUUGUAAUGAUAAAAAUGUAAAUAAUUGAACUUUUUGUGUAAAUAUUGUAUUCAUUUGUAUGUUAGCUAUUGGAACUUGAACACGAAUACUGAUCUUCAGUGUCUAAUAUUGAGAGAUAAUGACUUGAUAUUUGUAAAUGAUUCCUGUCAAUAGUUGUGGCUAAAUCUCUAUAUAGCUAUGUGUGUGUAUAUGUACAAGUAUAUAGCUAAAAUCAAAAUAAAAAUAAAAAAAUUAUAUAAAUGUGUUAUAUGUGAUGAAUUGCGUUUGCGUGUGUGUGUACGCUAAUUAUAUGUAAAGUUACUUAAAUAGAGUAAUAUCGCUGGAACUUCUUGAAGUAUUAUUUUCUUAAAAAAUCUAAUAUUUCCCAGUUUUACUAGCGCCCUGCAUCAAGAAUAGUUAAUUUUUUUUUAUUUGGCAUUGCGAAAAAUACUUUAUUACUGCUGCAAAUUGAAAAAAAAAUUGCUGAAUUUUUCAAAGUCCACUUUAGUGUAAUCGAAAAUAUAUGUAGCUUUGUAAGAUCAUUAGCUUAGAAUGUAUGGGUUUAAUAUUACUGUGUUAUUGUUACAAAUAUAUGUAAUUUUUGAAAUGUGUAAAUAUAGAUUGAGAAAUAUAUAUGUAUAUAUAUGUGCUCGCAAUUGA